GAUGAACGCUAGCGAUAGGCCUAACACAUGCAAGUCGAGGGGCAUCACAUGAAGUAGCAAUACGGAUGGUGGCGACCGGCGCACGGGUGAGUAACACGUAUGCAACCUACCUGUAAGCGGGGAAUAACCCGUUGAAAGACGGACUAAUACCCUAUAACACAGGGGUCCCGCAUGGGAAUAUUUGUUAAAGGACAACCGGUUGAAGAUGGGCAUGCGUUCCAUUAGCUAGUUGGCGGGGUAACGGCCCACCAAGGCAACGAUGGAUAGGGGAACUGAGAGGUUUAUCCCCCACACUGGUACUGAGACACGGACCAGACUCCUACGGGAGGCAGCAGUGAGGAAUAUUGGUCAAUGGACGCAAGUCUGAACCAGCCACGUCGCGUGAAGGAAGACGGCCCUACGGGUUGUAAACUUCUUUUAUACGGGAAUAAAGUGCCCCACGCGUGGGGUUUUGCAUGUACCGUAUGAAUAAGGAUCGGCUAACUCCGUGCCAGCAGCCGCGGUAA
RNAcentral lists this ribosomal RNA (506 nucleotides) under uncultured bacterium. RNAcentral describes it as "bacterial SSU rRNA". It matches the Rfam family "Bacterial small subunit ribosomal RNA", at positions 28 to 523 of the family's 1533-position model. The record is from RNAcentral.